RNAcentral lists this unclassified non-coding RNA (211 nucleotides) under plant metagenome. Its description in RNAcentral is "partial contains small subunit ribosomal RNA, internal transcribed spacer 1, and 5.8S ribosomal RNA". The record is from RNAcentral.
UUUCCGUAGGUGAACCUGCGGAAGAAUCAUUCAUAAUAAAGUGUUUUAUGGCACUUUUUAAAAAUCCAUAUCCACCUUGUGUGCAAUGUUAGAUCUCGUCAAUCUUGGCGAGAUUUUUAUACAUCAACUCAUUCUUUAACUAAUUUGUCUGAAAAAUAUUAUGAAUACUUAAUUCAAAAUACAACUUUCAACAACGGAUCUCUUGGCUCUC